CGGGGGGUUUGGGGUACAAAAGGGGCUCUGGGCAGGUGACAGGGCCAGCUUGGGGACAAUGGGGGGUCACAGGGGACACAGGGGGCGGGCGCAGGGGGUGACACACCCAGGCACACAGGUGACACACAGAGGGACACAGGACUGCAGGGACACAGCCCGGUUUAUUGCCAUGGUGACACCCCAAAACUCACAGCCUCAGUGUCCCCAGGACUGGUCACUGCGGGGUCACCCCAAUGUCCCCAGGACUGGUCACUGCAGGGUCACCCCAAUGUCCCCAGGACUGGUCAGUGUGGGGUCACCCCAGUGUCCCCAGGACUGGUCACUGUGGGGUCACCCCAAUGUCCCCAGGACUGGUCAGUGUGGGGUCACCCCAGUGUCCCCAGGACUGGUCACUGCAGUGACGUGAUGCUGCAGCUCCCAGGGGUCAGUUGGUCACCACAGGGGUCACUUGGCCAUGGCAGUGUCCCCACGGUGUCCCUGUGGUCACUGUGCCAUGGCAAUCCCUGUUCCACAGCCACGUCCCCACGGUGGUCACUAUGGUCAGUCACUGUGCCAUGGUGGUGUCCUGGUGUCCCCAUGGUGGUCACUAUGGUCACUGUGCCAUGGUGGUGUCCUGGUGUCCCCACGGUGGUCACUGUGCCAUGGUGGUGUCCUGGUGUCCCCACAGUGGUCACUGUGGUCAGUCACUGCUCCAUGGUGGUGUCCUGGUGUCCCCACGGUGGUCACUGUGCCAUGGUGGUGUCCCCACAGUGGUCACUGCUCUGUGGCAAUGUCCCCUCAGUGUCCCAGUGGUCAGUCACCGUGCCAUGGUAGUGCCUCUGCUGGUCACUCUGUUCACUGACCCAUGGCAAUGUCCCCGUGCUGGUCAGCGCUCCAUGGCCGUGUCCUGGGGCGGUCACUGUGGUCACUCAGCGCUCCAUGGCAGCACCCUGGGGUGGUCACUGUGGUCACUCAGCGCUCCAUGGCCGUGUCCUGGCGCAGCCUGGCCCUCACCACGCCGUCCAGCACGGCGUGCAGCCCCCGGCAGGCGGCCUGGGCAGCGUCCAGCACGGGCCGCAGCCGCUCCUGGUGCAGGCGGGCGCUGAGCUGGCACAGGGCCAGCUGCCCGCUGCCCGCCACCGUGGCCACGGCCAGCCUGGGGCCGCCGGCCGCCUCCUCGGCCGCGCUCAGGUCACUCAGGGCCACCGGGGGCCCGGCCGGG
This 1201-nucleotide long non-coding RNA is filed under the name Camarhynchus parvulus. RNAcentral describes it as "lncRNA (ENSCPVG00000016905.1)". The record is from RNAcentral. Lineage: Eukaryota; Metazoa; Chordata; Aves; Passeriformes; Thraupidae.